RNAcentral lists this ribosomal RNA (253 nucleotides) under uncultured bacterium. RNAcentral's name for it is "partial 16S ribosomal RNA". It matches the Rfam family "Bacterial small subunit ribosomal RNA", at positions 524 to 776 of the family's 1533-position model. The record is from RNAcentral.
UACGGAGGGAGCAAGCGUUACUCGGAAUUAUUGGGCGUAAAGGGCGCGUAGGCGAUUUAACAAGUCUUGUGUGAAAGCCCCGGGCUUAACUCGGGAAGUGCACAAGAAACUGUUGAAUUUGAGUUCCGGAGAGGAAGGCAGAAUUCCCGGUGUAGCGGUGAAAUGCGUAGAUAUUGGGAAGAACACCGGUGGCGAAGGCGGCCAACUGGACCACAACUGACGCUGAGGCGCGAAAGCGUGGGGAGCAAACAGG